CCAGUCUCAGGUAGUAUCUUUAGAGCAGUGUGAAAAUGGUCUAAUAAAGAGAAUUUGUGCUGGGGGUGGGGCAGAUGCCAUACUGAUAACCUGAAAAUGUGGAUAUGACUUAAGACCUGGGUAACUGGCAGAGGUUGGAACACUUUGGAGAGCUUAGAAGAAGAGAGGAAGAUGUGGGAAAGUUUGGAACCUCCUAGAGACUUGUUGAAUUGUAGUAACCAAAAUUGGUGAUAGUGAUAUGGACAAUGAAGUCCAGCAUGCGGUGGUAUCAGACAAGUAUGAGGAACUUACUGGGAACUAGAGUAAAAGUCAUCUCAUGAUAUGCUUUAGCAACGAGACUAGUGGCAUUUUGUCCCUGCCCUAGAGAUCUGUGGAACUUUGAACUUGAGAGAGAUGAUUUAGGGUAUUGGGUGGAAGAAAUUUCUAAGCAGCAAAGCAUUCAAGAUGUGACGUGGCUUAUUCUGAAAGUGUUCAGUUAUAUGCGUUCACAAAGAGAUGGUUUGAAAUUGGAAGCUAUGUUUAAAAGGGAAGCAGAGCAUGAAGGUUUGGAAAUUUUGCAGCCUGACCAUAUGGUAGAACAGGGCUGCACUGCUCUGUGCAGCUUCAGGACUUGGUGCUUUGUGUCCCCACCACACCAGCUCCAGCAAUGGCUAAAAGGGGCUGAGGUACAGGUUGGGCCAUUGCUUCGGAGAGUGCAAGCCCCAAGCCUUGGCAGCAUCCACAUGAUGUUGGCCCUAAGGGUGCACAGAAGAGAAGACAUGAGAUUUAGGAACCUCCGCCUAGAUUUCAGAGCAUGUAUGGAAAUGCCUGGAUGUCCAGGCAGAAGUCUGCUGCAGGGUCAGAGCCCUCAUAGAGAACCUCUGCUAGGGUGCUGUGGAAGG
This 881-nucleotide long non-coding RNA is filed under the name Pan troglodytes (chimpanzee). RNAcentral describes it as "long non-coding RNA NONPTRT013021". Lineage: Eukaryota; Metazoa; Chordata; Mammalia; Primates; Hominidae. The record is from RNAcentral.